GUUGGUGUCAACGUAAUUGAUUACAGGUUUAAAAAAAUAAUAAUAAAAAAACCAUCAUAUUACAUGUAACUGGAUUACAUGAAUUUAGUUACUCCCAAAUCCUGAUACACACACACAUAUAAAACCCUUAUUCAUCAGACAAAAUAAAGAUACAUUAUUAUAUCAUUUGGACAGUAUUGUGUAGUCAUGCCUAGUCAAAAAUCAUUUUUGUAGUUUAAUAGAAAAAACAUUGACCUUUUUAUUAAGAUAAUCCUGCAUUGGAUUGAAGUGUUGUAGUUAUUGUAUUGGAUGGCAUUUCUCAGGCAGAAAUCUAAGGGAAAAAAUGUCACAAUAUUUUAUUAUGAAUGUCUUGUUGUACUGUGAUCCAGCUCUAUACUGGUGCCUAUUUUGUGUUCUAUUAAUGUGCCUCAUGGCCCCAUGAGAGCCAAUUGGACAUUCAUUCCUGGCUCUCUUCCUGGCAGGCCAGUCCUCUGCGUCACACCCCAGGCAGUGGCACCUCUUCCUAUUGUUGGACUGAGACUCAACUCUCAGUCUCUUGUAGGAAUGCAGAGAUCUCAACUGGAGAAGCAAAAAAAUAAAAAAUAAAAAUAAAAUAGUACUAUAAGUGAAUGGACAGUGUGUGGCCUAUUUGUUUGCAUAUAUGAUUUUAUUUUUUCAUUUGCAGAGUCUUAUAAGCAUAUGUGGGCUGGGCAUCCUAAAGAUGCAAUACACUAUAAUGAAUGAAAUCAUACUACGCUACACCCUAAGAGCCCUUACGUGUAUCUGUGUUCCAGAGGUCCUCCUUAGUGAAUGCAGAGCAUACGUACAUCUGAGAUCCACAUAUUUCAUAGUUCCUCCUAAGUAAUAUUUUUUAUUUAAUUCAACUAGGCAAGUCAGUUAAGAACAAAUUCUUAUUUACAAUGGUGGCCUAGGAAGAGUGGGUUAACUGCCUUGUUCAGGGGCAGAACAACAGAUUUUUACCUUGUCAGCUCAGGGAUUUGAUAAAACAACCUUUUGGUUACUGGCCCAAUGCUCUAACCACUAGGCUACCUGUAAUAGUAGAGCAUACAUUUGAGGUGGCUGUCUCAGAAUGCUUGCUGUGGGUGGAGCCAGAGUAUCGGGAAAUAUCCUCAGAGUCUAGGAUGGAGUGGUUGUUGUUGUAAUGUACAUACCCUCUUCAUUGUCCACAUGAGUUGCAGAGCGGCAGGGAAUGUCCCGGGACUCCAGGAAGAACCUGGUGGUUGUUCACAUGUUACAUUUUAUUUAACUAGUACAACACAUCAUCCUCAGGAGUUAAAAAGCAAUGGGGACAGUCCUGGGGAGUCCAAGUCCUCUGGUUAAGAGUCUCCCUGGAGCUGUUGGACUGCUUGGGGCUCCCUGCUCUGCUGGAGUCAGGAGUCCAGACACAGGGUGACUUUGUGGAUCAACAAGGAUAACGUGACAGAUGGUAAAGAGAGUGAAACAAUACUCAAACAAACCAAUCCAAUGCAAAAUCAAGCAAAUUAGACAAAUUAGGCAAACUAGCACACGAGACAGAGGUAGAACUCGUAACUGACAGGUAGCCAGGGUUGUCAUAGUGAUUAUAACCAGACUGGAACGAUUGGCUCCAGGCUUUCAAGUGAGGCAAUACCCAAUCUGUAGAUCAAGAGGGGGAAAAAAUUGCAGAUCAAGCAAUUUACCAGAAAAAUGAAUUUACUAAUAAUCAAAGUUUAGCAGACUAAGCAGCAUGGUAGAGAAAGAUCUUACCCGAGAGGUGGUUUCAGCUACUUUAGAGCUCCUCGUUCCUAUUAAGAGAGUAGACAUCAGUGGUCUCAGACCAACAGGAUUGGGACAACCCAGAGUGGUGAAGACGUUCCUGGGGAGUCAAAGCCCUCUGGUCAGGAGACUCCCCGGGUCUCCAGAAGCAGGGUAGGUAUGUGGAUCAACAGGGACAAAGUGUCAGAUGGUAAAGAGAGUGGAACAACACACUGAAACAAACAAAUUGUUAUGUGCCCCAGUUUCUGUGUUGUGGUUUUGUUUGGAUGUGUGUGUUUCAGGAUGGCUUCCGGAAAUUCUAAGCAGCUGAUUGGUCAGCCCCAUCAAUGAUUGGAGAUCUGACCCCACCCUCUAAUCAGGAGAUACAGCUGUCUUCAAUUAUCGACUCCUUCUGAAGCUUUAAAAGCCAGUGUUCGUUUGUUAGGAGAGAGAGCUGAUGGUUAUGUCCUGUGUUGGUUGUUGCUCAGAGACAGGUCCCCAUAGGACGCAGUGUUUUUGUUUAUUGAAAUGGUUUACUUAUGUUUGUAUUCGUUUUAAUUUGUUCCCAGGGGGGAAGAGAGUGCUUAGGCAAGUGACCUGCGGGCAUAAAUAUACCCGAGUAUGUACUUUGUCUAUGCACACUAGGUAAGACCCGUCUGGACCAUCCCCUGUAUUUUGGUUAGUGCGCCAGGUGGUGCUUGUUAGGUAAGUUGUGAGUAGGUAAAGUAGGAGAGGGGGAACUUUAACUUUCUCUGCUUUGGUUCCGUCCAGCCCCUUUUUCCAAAAUUGCUGUGUGACUGAAUAAAUUCCCUGUAAAAGGUUAAUUCUCUGCCUUUGUCAUCCUUACUUGCACCUACAGUCCCAUACCUCUUUCACUCCACGGGGAGUUGAGUUGUAGCAGGGUGUUGCGUUCCCUCUUCCUAGAGGUCGUGCGUAACACCAAUCCAAUAGCAAAUUAGAUCAACUGGACAUAGAUGGAACUCCUAGCUGUUAGGUAGUCAAUGUCUUUUGGACUGAGAGGACUGGGCUCCAUUGGACAAGCUGUCCUGAGACAUGUCCAGGAAGGCAGUUGACCCAUAACUCUCCCAAGCAGAUGACCACAUAAUUGACAUCCUCAUCAACAAUUGAUUAUGCAACAAACUGAACCAAAUCUUCAGGGGUACUGAUAUGUCAUGAAUCAAAAUAAAAUGAUGCAACCUAUUGGAAAAAAUAAUUUACCAAUAUUCAAAGUUCAGCAAAGAUCUCUAUGGUAGAGGUGUUUAAAAAAAAUAUUUUUCUUAGCUCUUACCUGAGAAGUGGUUCACAAAGUUGGUUGAAUGGAUCACAUUGUCAUCCUCAUCAACACCAGGGUUGGAGGGAAUGGAGUCAUCAAUGAACUUAACAUGAUCUCCAGGGGUCCUAUUGGGACCCAAGCCUGGUGUUGAAAAGGAUGGGUGAUCAUUUGCAUUCAUAGUUGCAUCCAUAGUCAUCCAUCUGCACUGUAUGAGCAAGAUGUCUGUUCUGAAUUAAUUGUGAUAAAUUGUCUUUUGGUGAUAAUGUUUGAAUUUGACAUGACCUUUAUUCUGGUAAGAUCAUGCAACCUUUACAAUUGUAAUGAUAUUUCAACAAUAUUGCUUUAGCCAUAGGCAAUAUACCAAUCGUGUUCUAUAUCUAUGGUUUUAGCCACAGCUACAAAAAAAAUAUUUCUAUGUGGUUUUAACAGCCAUCUCCAUGGUAAUCAAAUUCUAAUGAAUGGUGCAUAGAGGCACGGAAUACAAUGUUUUGUCAUUUAAAUGUUUUUAAUUUAUGUAUGAAUUCUGAAUGGCUAAUGCUUUAUAAGGUACAAUUACUAAAUAAGAGCGAGUCUACAAGGACCUGGCCGGUUCUCUUGUAGAUAAUGUUUAUUUUGAUGCAGUAUUCGGUAUAGAAGUCUAGUUGAUUCAAGUACAGUUACAUCAAUCUCUUAACAGGUGAGCUCUGCAGAUGAUUUAAAAUAAAAUAUUCAUCUUUUGUUUUGGUCAAACAUUUCUUCCUAGGUGUUGGCCUUUCUAGGGAGUUUUUCCUAGCCGCCGUGCUUCUACACCUGCAUUGCUUGCUGUUUGGGGUUUUCGGCUGGGUUUCUGUACAGCACUUUGAGAUAUCAGCUGAUGUCAGAAGGGCUAUAUAAAAACAUUUGAUUUGAUUUAUUUAAUUCAUAUGACUUUAAAAGCAGUUGUUACAGUUUGUACACUAUGCACAAUGUAGAACGCAUCCGACAUGACACAUUUAUUUUAGUAACUUUUCUCCAAAUAUUAGAUAUGACAUAUCAGGUGUUGUAUGCCAACUUUCGAAGAAACUACUGCAAAAAAUAUACGCUUAGACAUUUUGAUAACUCAAUUUUAUAACCCAUUUUUAAGAAUCAAUUUCCACAUUGUUAUGAUGGUAAAUUAUAAGUAUGAAUACAGCUAAAUAAUAAAAGGCGUAAAACACAUAUUCCAGUUGUACAGUUUAUGACUACGUUCACAGAUAUGAAUUACACCUCAAUGCGUCAGUACAAAUAUUUCAAAAACCUUCUAUAACCCAAUAUAUAUGUUUUAAAAAGUGCAUAAAUUGUCAAUCUGUCUUUCACAACAUGCUAGCGAGGACUAGGUAAUAACUGAGUUAUUAUGCAAUAUCUGUAAAGAUGUUUGCUUUUGUAUUGGAGAAAGUCUUUAGCCUGAGUGCCAGUCUGUUUGUGCUAUCAUGCCAACUCCUUGUACUGGGCAUUUUUGGUUUGUCAAUGAGCAAUUGAGUUAGCAAGAGCACAACCAGAUCUGAGACCAGGCUAGGUCUUUGCAAGUGAAAAAUCUAAGAAAACAUGGAAGUCAUCAUGCAAAUCACUGGCAAAAGAAAAUGUGCCUAAAAAAAUAGGAUAUUUAUGAAAAUGUCAUAAUUGGAAACUUCAUCUUACAGAAAUCUCAAUAAGAAAAAGCAGAAUUAAUUACCGUACCAUACAUUAGGUCACUCAUCUAUGAUCGUAAAUAGCUAUCUUCUGUGUAUUAUGUUUUACAUAGUACUGAUUUAUAAAUGGGUAUGAUGGUAUGGUUGAAUAGCUUUCUGUAGCCAUAUUAAUCGUCAUAUUCUUCAAUAAAUCCCUUUAAACCCAUUUGGUUUGGACUCACAUAGGGGAAUCAUUAUCACUUAUUAAAUCACCUAAAUCUCUCAAAAGCACAUAUGAGCCCUCACAUACAGUAUCUCAAUACCCCUCAUAUACAAGCAAACAAACAAAAACAGAGUAAGCUAGACCUACAACCAGUAUAGUAUUCAUGUGGAAUGGAAACCAGGUUUUGCCGUGCUAACUACUACUGCUACUGUUUAAAUUCAAGCAAUGUUUUAAACCAUUUUGCAAGGGACAAGUCAAGGUAUUUCCUCCCUCUUUCAAUACAUUUUCUUCCGCUUGUACCCACUGAACACGACCCAGUUUAAACCAGAGAACCAAUGCUGAGUAGACAAACCAGCAGAGCAGCAGUGAUCAAUGCUAAAGGGAAGUGAGGACCUCUAGUGGCAGAAGAAGGAACGUUCAGAGACCCAUCCAGCUUGAGGCAGGAUGUUAUGGAGGUGUUGCAGCACUCUUGGUGGCAUGUACCUGUUGUGGUCGUACACCAAGUGUUUCUUGUGCAGUCGGCAUUGCAGCCUCCCAUCCACAUCGUUGUUGAACCAAUUGUCAUCUUUUUCAACUGAAAAGAGAAACGUGGAUUGAGAAUGCAUGAAGUUAGAUGAGUUGAAGGAUGUACAAGAUUGGCGAAAAGGAAAUUCUCUCGUCUGAGUGAUGUUAUUGAGACGAUAACAGAUAAUCGUUCUUGUCGUGGCCAAAUGUAUUUUCCUUCUUUCGUUAUAAAAUUCUUAAAGUGUACAUUUUGUAUCCUACAGCAUUUACAGUUCAAUGAAGCAUGUCUAGUUUGUCUACUAUGGGUAUAGACUGAUGAAUAGGGUAGUGUGGGGGUGCACUAUUAAGCCUACCUCACAGUAGGGCUGGUUGAGGGGACAAGGCAUUGGGUCUUUGGUUAUCCAAGUCUUGUAACAGUUCUGCUCUGUGCACUGAAACAUCUGGCACUUCUUAAGUUUCUGUAAAUAGAUGGAUGAUGUUAACAAAGGCUGGUAAAUUCACAGACUUUGAGUCCUACACACACACACACACACACACACACACACACACACACACACACACACACACACACACACACACACACACACACACACACACACA
This is a long non-coding RNA of Oncorhynchus tshawytscha (Chinook salmon), 5917 nucleotides long. The record is from Ensembl. Lineage: Eukaryota; Metazoa; Chordata; Actinopteri; Salmoniformes; Salmonidae.